RNAcentral lists this non-coding RNA (21 nucleotides) under Caenorhabditis elegans. The record is from RNAcentral. Lineage: Eukaryota; Metazoa; Nematoda; Chromadorea; Rhabditida; Rhabditidae.
UCAUGUUUCGAAUUAUUCACC